Molecule: ribosomal RNA, 447 nt
Filed under: uncultured bacterium
Lineage: Bacteria
Description: bacterial SSU rRNA
Rfam family: Bacterial small subunit ribosomal RNA
Source: RNAcentral
GUCCAGACUCCUACGGGAGGCAGCAGUGGGGGAUAUUGCACAAUGGGGGGAACCCUGAUGCAGCGACGCCGCGUGGGUGAAGGAGCGUUUCGGCGCGUAAAGCCCUCUCGGCAGGGAAGAAGGAGGACGGUACCUGACUAAGAAGCCCCGGCUAACUACGUGCCAGCAGCCGCGGUAAUACGUAGGGGGCAAGCGUUAUCCGGAUUUACUGGGUGUAAAGGGAGCGUAGGUGGCAGGGCAAGUCAGAUGUGAAAGCCCGGGGCUCAACCCCGGGAGUGCAUUUGAAACUGUCCAGCUGGAGUGCAGGAGAGGUAAGCGGAAUUCCUAGUGUAGUGGUGAAAUGCAUAGAUAUUAGGAGGAACACCAGUGGCGAAGGCGGCUUACUGGACUGUAACUGACACUGAGGCUCGAAAGCGUGGGGAGCAAACAGGAUUAGAUACCCCGGUA